RNAcentral lists this long non-coding RNA (463 nucleotides) under Homo sapiens (human). RNAcentral's name for it is "LHRI_LNC1535.1". Lineage: Eukaryota; Metazoa; Chordata; Mammalia; Primates; Hominidae. The record is from RNAcentral.
CAGCUUUGUUGUGCUGCUGCUUCCAGUUCUGCCGGCUCAGUGCCUUGUGACCGGGGCCGGUGGCUCCUCCAUAGAGGGCUCACAGGGGUCCUGCCCACUCAGUGCCUCUCACACCUCUGCACAAACCCUGGGUCUCAGCAGCCACAGGGUUCUGGCCUUCCUUGGGUGAGCCUGGACACCCACCCUCAUGCAGACAGGUUCAGAAUCUGGGAGGGGGUCCAGCCUCUUGUGCGCCCUACUGUCCCCCACACCUGAGGGGCACUCGGGAGACAGAGUACUGGGGGCAUGCUGUUGUCACCACGGCCUGCUGGGGUCAUGUCACAGCUCAGAGCCUUGGUCCCCCCAGCUGUAACGUUAGCAUGAGAAUGGGGACUCUGGCAGUCGAGGAACACCCACCCUCCCGCAGCCUGGCUGGGCAAGUGCUGGAUGGGGGUUGCAGUGGGACCCCAAAUCUUGAUCAGAU